AAAGGAAUAGACGGGGGCCCGCACAAGCGGUGGAGCAUGUGGUUUAAUUCGAUGCAACGCGAAGAACCUUACCAGGUCUUGACAUCCUUAGAAUCCUGUAGAAAUAUGGGAGUGCCCGCGAGGGAGCUAGGAGACAGGUGGUGCAUGGUUGUCGUCAGCUCGUGUCGUGAGAUGUUGGGUUAAGUCCCGCAACGAGCGCAACCCUUGCUAUUAGUUGCUAACAAGUAAAGUUGAGCACUCUAAUGGGACUGCCGGUGACAAGCCGGAGGAAGGUGGGGAUGACGUCAAAUCAUCAUGCCCUUUAUGAUCUGGGCUACACACGUGCUACAAUGGGCGGUACAAAGAGAAGCGAAGCCGCGAGGCGGAGCAAAUCUCAGAAAGCCGUUCUCAGUUCGGAUUGUAGCCUGCAACUCGGCUACAUGAAGUCGGAAUCGCUAGUAAUCGCGGAUCAGAAUGUCGCGGUGAAUGCGUUCCCGGGCCUUGUACACACCGCCCGU
RNAcentral lists this ribosomal RNA (497 nucleotides) under uncultured bacterium. RNAcentral describes it as "bacterial SSU rRNA". It matches the Rfam family "Bacterial small subunit ribosomal RNA", at positions 903 to 1397 of the family's 1533-position model. The record is from RNAcentral.